RNAcentral lists this ribosomal RNA (440 nucleotides) under uncultured bacterium. Its description in RNAcentral is "partial 16S ribosomal RNA". It matches the Rfam family "Bacterial small subunit ribosomal RNA", at positions 338 to 795 of the family's 1533-position model. The record is from RNAcentral.
CCUACGGGAGGCAGCAGUGGGGAAUAUUGCACAAUGGGGGAAACCCUGAAGCAGCAACGCCGCGUGAAGGAUGAAGGUUUUCGGAUUGUAAACCUCUUUUGUUAGAGAAGAUAAUGACGGUAUCUAAUGAAUAAGCACCGGCUAACUCCGUGCCAGCAGCCGCGGUAAUACGGAGGGUGCAAGCGUUAUCCGGAUUCACUGGGCGUAAAGAGCGCGUAGACGGGAGAGAAAGUCUGGUGUGAAAUCCUAGGGCUUAACCAUAGAACUGCAUUUGAAACUGUUAUGCUAGAGUAUAGGAGAGGUAGGUGGAAUUCUUGGUGUAGGGGUAAAAUGCGUAGAGAUCAAGAGGAACACUCAUUGCGAAGGCGGCUUACUAGAAUGUAACUGACGUUGAUGCGCGAAAGCGUGGGGAGCAAACAGGAUUAGAUACCCCUGUAGUC